GAGUUUGAUCCUGGCUCGGAUGAACGCUGGCGGCGUGCCUAAUACAUGCAAGUCGAGCGGAUCUUUGGGAGCUUGCUCUCAAAGAUCCGCGGCGGACGGGUGAGUAACACGUGGGCAAUCUGCCUGUGAGACUGGGUUAACUUCGGGAAACCGGAGCUAAUACCGGAUAACAUAAAAGACCACAUGGUCUUCUAUUGAAAGAUGGCUUCGGCUAUCACUUACAGAUGAGCCCGCGGCGCAUUAGCUAGUUGGUGAGGUAAUGGCUCACCAAGGCGACGAUGCGUAGCCGACCUGAGAGGGUGAUCGGCCACACUGGGACUGAGACACGGCCCAGACUCCUACGGGAGGCAGCAGUAGGGAAUCUUCCGCAAUGGACGAAAGUCUGACGGAGCAACGCCGCGUGAGCGAUGAAGGCCUUCGGUCGUAAAGCUCUGUUGUUAAGGAAGAACAAGUAUCGUUCGAAUAGGGCGGUACCUUGACGGUACUUAACCAGAAAGCCACGGCUAACUACGUGCCAGCAGCCGCGGUAAUACGUAGGUGGCAAGCGUUAUCCGGAAUUAUUGGGCGUAAAGCGCGCGCAGGCGGUUCCUUAAGUCUGAUGUGAAAGCCCACGGCUCAACCGUGGAGGGUCAUUGGAAACUGGGGAACUUGAGUGCUGAAGAGGGGAGUGGAAUUCCACGUGUAGCGGUGAAAUGCGUAGAGAUGUGGAGGAACACCAGUGGCGAAGGCGACUCUCUGGUCAGUAACUGACACUGAGGCGCGAAAGCGUGGGGAGCGAACAGGAUUAGAUACCCUGGUAGUCCACGCUGUAAACGAUGAGUGCUAAGUGUUAGAGGGUUUCCGCCCUUUAGUGCUGCAGCAAACGCAUUAAGCACUCCGCCUGGGGAGUACGGUCGCAAGACUGAAACUCAAAGGAAUUGACGGGGGCCCGCACAAGCGGUGGAGCAUGUGGUUUAAUUCGAAGCAACGCGAAGAACCUUACCAGGUCUUGACAUCCUUAUGACAUCCCUAGAGAUAGGGCUUUCCCUUCGGGGACAUAAGUGACAGGUGGUGCAUGGUUGUCGUCAGCUCGUGUCGUGAGAUGUUGGGUUGAGUCCCGCAACGAGCGCAACCCUUGAUCUUAGUUGCCAGCAUUUAGUUGGGCACUCUAAGGUGACUGCCGGUGACAAACCGGAGGAAGGUGGGGAUGACGUCAAAUCAUCAUGCCCCUUAUGACCUGGGCUACACACGUGCUACAAUGGAUGGUACAAAGGGCAGCAAAACCGCGAGGUUAAGCGAAUCCCAUAAAACCAUUCUCAGUUCGGAUUGCAGGCUGCAACUCGCCUGCAUGAAGCUGGAAUCGCUAGUAAUCGCGGAUCAGCAUGCCGCGGUGAAUACGUUCCCGGGCCUUGUACACACCGCCCGUCGCACCACGAGAGUUUGUAACACCCGAAGUCGGUGGGGUAACCGCAAGGAGCCAGCCGCCUAAGGUGGACAGAUGAUUGGGGUGAAGUCGUAACAAGGUAGCCGGAC
Molecule: ribosomal RNA, 1512 nt
Filed under: uncultured bacterium
Lineage: Bacteria
Description: bacterial SSU rRNA
Rfam family: Bacterial small subunit ribosomal RNA
Source: RNAcentral